CCAGACUCCUACGGGAGGCAGCAGUGGGGAAUAUUGCACAAUGGGGGAAACCCUGAUGCAGCGACGCCGCGUGAGUGAAGAAGUAUUUCGGUAUGUAAAGCUCUAUCAGCAGGGAAGAAAAUGACGGUACCUGACUAAGAAGCCCCGGCUAACUACGUGCCAGCAGCCGCGGUAAUACGUAGGGGGCAAGCGUUAUCCGGAUUUACUGGGUGUAAAGGGAGCGUAGACGGCAUGGCAAGUCAGAUGUGAAAGCCCGGGGCUCAACCCCGGGACUGCCCUUGGAACUGCGUGGCUGGAGUGCAGGAGGGGCAGGCGGAAUUCCUGGUGUAGCGGUGAAAUGCGUAGAUAUCAGGAGGAACACCGGCGGCGAAGGCGGCCUGCUGGACCGCGACUGACGUUGAGGCUCGAAAGCGUGGGGAGCAAACAGGAUUAGAUACCCUAGUAU
RNAcentral lists this ribosomal RNA (445 nucleotides) under uncultured bacterium. Its description in RNAcentral is "bacterial SSU rRNA". It matches the Rfam family "Bacterial small subunit ribosomal RNA", at positions 331 to 793 of the family's 1533-position model. The record is from RNAcentral.